GAAGCAAACAUAGGAAGUGGCUUACUGCCUUGCAUAAAAAGAUAUCAGAGAACAGUGGAGUCAUUUGGAAAAAGCACUGGUAAAGUGGCUUCAGAAGUGAUUUUUUUCCCCUUAUUUUCUGGCACAGUGCUUUCUAAGAUGAUGUUGUUCACUGUAGUUUUCUUUCACUUUUAAAGGCAUGAUGGUUCCAGGCAGGAUAAUCUUAAAUGGUGAUUUGUCAUCUCUUUUUCCCCUUGCAGCAUUGCUAUGGCAACAAAAGAAAAUAUGACUUCACAGAGAGGAAUGUUGAAGUCAAUUCACAGCAAAAUGAACACUUUGGCCAAUCGUUUUCCUGCUGUAAACAGCCUGAUCCAGAGGAUCAACCUGAGGAAGCGGCGGGACUCGCUCAUCCUAGGGGGUGUUAUUGGGAUCUGUACCAUCCUGUUGCUGCUGUAUGCGUUCCAUUGAUGGGAUGUCUUCAGGGACUCUUGACAACCACCACUUUCACGCCCUGGUCUGGAAUAAGGAAACAUCGGAGGGAGAAGUUGACUGUCUUGAUAAUUAGCCUGACCAGCAGGAUGAAUGCAAGACUGACAGUGAUGGACUCUGUGACAUGGUCAGGUUGAGCUGAAGCCACAGUUUUUCUGUGCUGUCUUUUCUAACACAUUUUUCUGUUUUUAAUUAAAAAAAAAAACAAAAA
Molecule: small RNA, 679 nt
Filed under: Pongo abelii (Sumatran orangutan)
Lineage: Eukaryota; Metazoa; Chordata; Mammalia; Primates; Hominidae
Description: retained intron
Source: RNAcentral